This is a non-coding RNA of Penaeus vannamei (Pacific white shrimp), 465 nucleotides long. The record is from RefSeq and is a predicted model, not a curated record. Lineage: Eukaryota; Metazoa; Arthropoda; Malacostraca; Decapoda; Penaeidae.
UUGAAGNNCUCCAGUUAGUACCCACUGUGCAGCGUCCGUUGAUUCGAUUGCCAACUCUGUCUAGCGUUUCCCUACCCUCGUCUGUGACAGAAUAUUUAAGUAAUUUGUCGAAGCCGCAAAAGAUCAUAAUUGUCAGCGUUGGCACUGGCCUGACACUUGUUGCACUGGUUGCCCGCUACUUGCGCCGGCGUCGGAGGAUCCCUCGGAAAUCUGCAUUGUCAAGGCAUGAUGAUGCAAGUCGUGCUCAUCGAAAAGUGAAACCCAUCACAAUACGGAGUCCUUCUGGGGAGAUUCACAGCAUAGGAGGUAAUAUAUCUCCAGGAUUCCAUCGUUCUGUGCACAGACAGAGCUCUAUAUCUGCUAGCAGUGACAGGAUCAGUGUAGCAUCUGUGUUAACUACACAAGCAGGAGAUGGCAACACACUGACACCUCAACAAUAUGGAGUUAUGGGUAAGUUGCGUGAUC